This 271-nucleotide unclassified non-coding RNA is filed under the name Hevea brasiliensis (rubber tree). The record is from RNAcentral. Lineage: Eukaryota; Viridiplantae; Streptophyta; Magnoliopsida; Malpighiales; Euphorbiaceae.
UGAGAUUGUUAGCCAUGCAAUUUCAGAGUGCAUCUCUGAAAAGAAAGAUCUCAAGAAAGCCGCUAAUCAAAAGAAAGUCACUAAUCAAAAGAAAGUCAUUAAUCAGUCUGUCAAGAUGUCAUCUCCUGGUACCAGAAUGUCUGCAGGUUGUGGUGGCAGUAAGGCCUUAAUUGAUCCUGAGAGGAGUGCAGAAGCUCCUAAUCUUCUUAACUGGGAAUCUGCUGCUGCUGAAAUCCCUUCGAAGUCUUCAGGAAGCUCGAAAUCUGUUGGA